Long non-coding RNA from Sebastes umbrosus (honeycomb rockfish), 475 nucleotides. RefSeq lists it as uncharacterized. The transcript has 3 exons. Lineage: Eukaryota; Metazoa; Chordata; Actinopteri; Perciformes; Sebastidae. The record is from RefSeq and is a predicted model, not a curated record.
CGGCAGAGCUUCAUUAGGGGUUGGAUGGAAGUAGCACACACACCCAUACACACACACACACACACACACACACACCAGUCUUUCAUAGAGAUUAGUAGAAUUUAAACAUUUGGGAUUAGUUGAGAUGUGAAGGAUUUUUAACCAACAAUUAAUCCCUUUCUUUUCCGUGUGGCAUGAUCCCUCUCUCUUUUCCCUUUUGACAGGAAGGAAAGGAGAAGGAGCCUGGAGAGGGAAGGGAGGACAGUGAAGGAGAGAAUGGGGAAGAAGGGAGGAAAGAGAUAACUGUGUUUGCAGAACCAGGGACGUGUUGGCAGUGAUUUCUACCACGUGGAGCAGCUCUCUGCUCAGACUGGGUUCCUACCAGAAUACCAGCGUUCGUCGAAUUUGCACACAGAGGAGCAGCUCCGGGAUUUGACGCCGGAAGCAGUGGCGUUAGCUCCUGAACUCCGAUCCAGCAGCCUGACGAAACGGCGGA